AUUGAACGCUGGCGGCAUGCCUUACACAUGCAAGUCGAACGGCAGCACGGGAGCAAUCCUGGUGGCGAGUGGCGAACGGGUGAGUAAAGUAUCGGAACGUGCCCAGUCGUGGGGGAUAACGUAGCGAAAGUUACGCUAAUACCGCAUACGAUCUAUGGAUGAAAGCGGGGGAUCGCAAGACCUCGCGCGAUUGGAGCGGCCGAUAUCAGAGUAGGUAGUUGGCGGGGUAAAGGCUCACCAAGCCGACGAUCUCUAGCUGGUCUGAGAGGACGGCCAGCCACGCUGGGACUGGAACGCGGCCCAGACUCCUGCGGGAGGCAGAAGUGGGGAAUUUUGGAAAAUGCGCGGAAGCCUGAUCCAGCCAAGCCGCGUGCAGGAUGAAGGCCUUCGGGUUGUGAGCUGCUUUUGUACGGAACGAAAAGGUUUGGCCUAAUAAGCUGAGCUCAAGACGGUACCGUAAGAAUAAGCACCGGCUAACUACGUGCCAGCCGCCGCCGUAA
RNAcentral lists this ribosomal RNA (500 nucleotides) under uncultured bacterium. RNAcentral's name for it is "partial 16S ribosomal RNA". It matches the Rfam family "Bacterial small subunit ribosomal RNA", at positions 29 to 523 of the family's 1533-position model. The record is from RNAcentral.